ACCUCCCACCCGUGUUUACUGUACCUUAGUUGCUUCGGCGGGCCCGCCAUUCAUGGCCGCCGGGGGCUCUCAGCCCCGGGCCCGCGCCCGCCGGAGACACCACGAACUCUGUCUGAUCUAGUGAAGUCUGAGUUGAUUGUAUCGCAAUCAGUUAAAACUUUCAACAAUGGAUCUCUUGGUUCCGGCAUCGAUGAAGAACGCAGCGAAAUGCGAUAACUAGUGUGAAUUGCAGAAUUCCGUGAAUCAUCGAGUCUUUGAACGCACAUUGCGCCCCCUGGUAUUCCGGGGGGCAUGCCUGUCCGAGCGUCAUUGCUGCCCAUCAAGCACGGCUUGUGUGUUGGGUCGUCGUCCCCUCUCCGGGGGGGACGGGCCCCAAAGGCAGCGGCGGCACCGCGUCCGAUCCUCGAGCGUAUGGGGCUUUGUCACCCGCUCUGUAGGCCCGGCCGGCGCUUGCCGAACGCAAAUCAAUCUUUUUCCAGGUUGACCUCGGAUCAGGUAGGGAUACCCGCUGAACUUAAGCAUAU
Molecule: ribosomal RNA, 524 nt
Filed under: Aspergillus flavus
Lineage: Eukaryota; Fungi; Ascomycota; Eurotiomycetes; Eurotiales; Aspergillaceae
Description: eukaryotic LSU rRNA
Rfam family: 5.8S ribosomal RNA (bases 156-309)
Source: RNAcentral